Long non-coding RNA from Rhea pennata, 477 nucleotides. RefSeq lists it as uncharacterized. The transcript is spliced from 2 exons. Lineage: Eukaryota; Metazoa; Chordata; Aves; Rheiformes; Rheidae. The record is from RefSeq and is a predicted model, not a curated record.
GGCCGCAGGCGGCCGCUCCGAGCGCUGCCCCGCGGGCGGGCUGGCCGCAGGCAGCCGGCAGGAGCUGCCACAAGAAAUGUUACGUGAUUUCUACUUGUUAGCGCAGAGCAUGGCGAUUUCCGUUAAACGUCCCUGGUGCUCUGCGUACAAAUAGAGUCUGAUGGGCCGCAGGCAUCCAAACGCGAGAGGAAACAAACCCACGAUUUAUGAUCGUCAACUCCUCGUUCUCCACAUUAAUGACAGCACAAAACAUCUGCUGUCAGAACAACUGUUCCCGCGUCAGCAACGGUGUCUUCACUAAAGCUACGCUGUGCGUGAGCUUGGCUCAUCUGACUGAGCUCUCUCCUGGUACGCACUUCCCUCCCUUUGGAGUUUGUCAAGAUGCAGUGGCUGAUGUGAAGAUUUGCAUGACCUGCCUGCACUGUCAGAGCUGACUCAGAACAUUCUUCAGCUGAAUAAAGCUUUUUAACCAGAAAA